This 229-nucleotide ribosomal RNA is filed under the name uncultured bacterium. RNAcentral's name for it is "partial 16S ribosomal RNA". It matches the Rfam family "Bacterial small subunit ribosomal RNA", at positions 568 to 796 of the family's 1533-position model. The record is from RNAcentral.
CAUGUAGGCGGUUGUGUAAGUGUGGAUUUAAAGACUAAGGCUUAACCUUAUGUAUGGUCUGCAAACUGCGCAACUAGAGUAUAGGAAGGGAAGCUGGAAUUCCGCGUGUAAGGGUAAUAUCUGUAGAUAUGCGGAAGAAUACCGGUGGCGAAGGCGAGCUUCUAGCCUAUAACUGACGCUAAAAUGCGAAAGUGUGGGGAGCGAACAGGAUUAGAUACCCUGGUAGUCC